This 468-nucleotide ribosomal RNA is filed under the name uncultured bacterium. RNAcentral describes it as "partial 16S ribosomal RNA". It matches the Rfam family "Bacterial small subunit ribosomal RNA", at positions 28 to 507 of the family's 1533-position model. The record is from RNAcentral.
GACGAACGCUGGCGGCGUGCUUAACACAUGCAAGUCGAACGGAAAGGCCCUGCUUUUGUGGGGUGCUCGAGUGGCGAACGGGUGAGUAACACGUGAGUAACCUGCCCUUGACUUUGGGAUAACUUCAGGAAACUGGGGCUAAUACCGGAUAGGAGCUCCUGCUGCAUGGUGGGGGUUGGAAAGUUUCGGCGGUUGGGGAUGGACUCGCGGCUUAUCAGCUUGUUGGUGGGGUAGUGGCUUACGAAGGCUUUGACGGGUAGCCGGCCUGAGAGGGUGAACGGCCACAUUGGGACUGAGGGACGGCCCAGACUCCUACGGGAGGCAGCAGUGGGGAAUAUGGCACAAUGGGGCGAAGCCUGAGGCAGCAACGCCGCGUGCGGGAUGACGGCCUUCGGGUGGAAAACCGCUUUCGCCUGUAACGAAGCGUGAGUGACGGUAAUGGGUAAAGAAGCACCGGCUAACUACGUG